Molecule: unclassified non-coding RNA, 267 nt
Filed under: rhizosphere metagenome
Description: partial ribosomal RNA internal transcribed spacer region
Source: RNAcentral
GUAGGUGAACCUGCGGAAGGAUCAUUAACACGUAUCCACGUAUCAACCCUGGUGUCACGAGUGCGCGAGCCGGCCAAUCAGUUGACCGUAUGCAGCGGAGCAAUCCGUUGCGCGUGCUCAGUUUUCUUUUUUAUCUCCUAUUGAAUUUUAACCACUUGAACCCAUCAGACUAAAACUAUUUCGCGUCUUUUUGCGUUUUCGAACGCUGAAAAACCGAAACAAUAAAAUAACAAGAAACAACUCUUAGCGACGGAUUUCUUGGCUCCC